This 464-nucleotide small RNA is filed under the name Pongo abelii (Sumatran orangutan). Its description in RNAcentral is "processed transcript". Lineage: Eukaryota; Metazoa; Chordata; Mammalia; Primates; Hominidae. The record is from RNAcentral.
AGGUACCCACCCCUAUGAAAUUUAUGCAUGAGCCCUUAAAGGAAGAGGGUGACCAGUGGAACUUAUGAAUGGGAAUAACUCCUCAUGACCACCUAGUAUUUCUCCACGAGGUUUUUUGCUGUUGGAGACUGACUCCUAGCAGCCAGUAAGGAGGAGAAGGGGAGAGAGCUCAUUCGAUAUUAACAACAUUGUCAUCCCAAUGUCUGUUGCUGCAACAACUCGCGUAGAGAAACUGCAAUACAAGGAAAUCCUUACUCCCAGCUGGCGGGAGGUUGAUCUUCAGUCUCUGAAGGGGAGUCCUGAUGAGGAGAAUGAGGAGAUUGAGGACCUAUCCGACGCAGCCUUCGCCGCCCUGCAUGCCAAAUGUGAGGAGAUGGAGAGGGCACGGUGGCUGUGGACCACGAGUGUGCCACCCCAGCGGCGGGGUAGCAGGUCCUACAGGUCAUCAGACGGCCGGACAACCC